Rhopilema esculentum is the source of this 1647-nucleotide long non-coding RNA. RefSeq lists it as uncharacterized. NCBI's taxonomy places the organism in Eukaryota, Metazoa, Cnidaria, Scyphozoa, Rhizostomeae, Rhizostomatidae. The record is from RefSeq and is a predicted model, not a curated record.
UUUCAAUUUUUCGGAUACUUUGGAACUCUGUCGGAAUUUGGUGGGGGUUCAAUUCAGUAUGUAAACAGAGGAACUGUAGUCAGUCAGGGAGAAAUGUAGCAAUUUUUCGCAAUUGAAAUUUUAGAUCAAAAAUUCAAGAUUUACAGAGAAACAUAGCUCUUAUAACUUGACUGGUUUUUUUAAACCUGUGCAAUCGGUCUAGAUCCGCACCUGGUAGUAGCAGUUCUUCUAGACUGGAAACCUCUUUUGCUCAUUUUUUAGGUUUUUUAUCUUGCUUAAUGAUAUGAUGUAUUUUCUAACUUGGUUAUCUUGUUGCUUUAUUGCCAUUUUUAUAGUUAUUGAUAUCUUCUCUGGACCAGACUGCUUAUAAAAAUUCAGUAGAAAUAGGCAAGUAUUUUCUAAAAGGGCGUUUUCUGGCGUUCUAGAGGGCAUGACCUCAAAAAAUUUUCAAUUUGCUUGUUAAAGCAGGUUAAACUAGCGUAAAAACUCUAUUAAGCCCCCUCUCCCUUUUAAGCCCCUCUUACCAAGCAAAAAUUUAAAAUAAGCCCCCUCUCUAAUAAGUCCUUCUCUUAAGCCCCUGAUGUCAAACAAAGAAAACAUUCUUUGGGCGUGAUCGUGAAAUUUUAUUUCAAGUAGCGUGAAAGCGUGAUUUGCAAUUAUUUUGCGCGUGAAUGCGUGAUUCAGCAUUCACGAUUGUAAAAAAGGGCAAAUAUGCUUGUUUGAGACAGACAGAAGUAUUGCCUUUUAAAAGAAAGAGGAAAUGAACGUGGAAACUCUGGAUCAUUUAUGAAUGGUUAUUUUUGGCUGUUUCUUGACUUGAUAAAAAGAAAAUUCACUUCCUUUCUACCGGCUAAAAGAGGUUCUGAUAAAAUGAAUAUAGCAACAGUAGCUGUUCCUUGCCUUCCAUUUGUUCGGGCAUCUGCCAAACAAUUGAAAAGCGAAAUAAUAACUUUCCGGAUAACAUUAAAAAUCUUUAGAAUCUAGGAAGGAGACCAAGAAAACAGUAUAUAGAAGGGUUCACUUUUAUUUCUCAAAAAACUGAUAACAUUUUUUAUAUUUUCAUAACACAAAUAUUCCAUAACAUCUACAACACUUGAUAACAUUAAUAAAACAAAAAUUUGAUAACAUGUAUAAAACUUUUGAUAAAAUUUGACAAGAUAUGUCAUUUGUCAAACAUAUAUUGCUGAGGAGUGUUUGAAAUGAGGCGAUCUGGUAAGAAUAAGAGCAAAUUCAGGAAGAAUAGUCUGAUAUCUGUGUGUCAUGAAAGUUAUCUCAAAAUAUUAUAUAGCUCCUUGUUUACGAUGAUAUAAGGGGCACUGUAAGGUCACAGUGGCAGGCAGAUGAAAGGCAAUUAAAUGCUCUGCUUGUAACGUAUAUUUUUGCUUGAAUAAAGACAGAAAUUGCUUCAACUUGUGGGACUGUUACUUGGCUUGUAUAAAUAUACUUUUGUCUAAUUGUAGAAUGUCUGAAACGAGUUGAUAUUUAUUUCUAUCAUAUGGCUAAAAACAGACUUUACCAAAUUUAGCAUAAAAGCAAGUUUUCCCAAAUUUUGUAGUCCUUACGUAAUUACAUAUUAAAUUUUUUUCAAAUAUCAAAAUGAGCUGGAAGAUUGCAGAUACAACAGUUGAUAAACAUACCACUGGAAAU